RNAcentral lists this transfer RNA (68 nucleotides) under Spirochaetota bacterium. RNAcentral's name for it is "Spirochaetes bacterium tRNA-OTHER". It matches the Rfam family "tRNA". Rfam says of the family: Transfer RNA (tRNA) molecules are approximately 80 nucleotides in length. Their secondary structure includes four short double-helical elements and three loops (D, anti-codon, and T loops). Lineage: Bacteria; Pseudomonadati; Spirochaetota. The record is from RNAcentral.
CGGCGUGUGGCUUAAGGGUAUAGCGACGGUGGAAGCCGUAGAUGCGGGUUCGAAUCCCGUCAUGCCGG